UACGGAGGGUGCAAGCGUUGUUCGGAAUUAUUGGGCGUAAAGGGCGCGUAGGCGGUUUCUUAAGUCAGAUGUGUAAUCCCCGAGCUUAACUUGGGAACUGCAUCUGAGACUGGGAGGCUAGAGUACUGGAGAGGGUGGUGGAAUUCCUCGUGUAGCGGUGAAAUGCGUAGAGAUGAGGAGGAACACCAGUGGCGAAGGCGGCCACCUGGACAGUAACUGACGCUGAGGCGCGAAAGUGUGGGUAGCAAACAGG
RNAcentral lists this ribosomal RNA (253 nucleotides) under uncultured bacterium. Its description in RNAcentral is "partial 16S ribosomal RNA". It matches the Rfam family "Bacterial small subunit ribosomal RNA", at positions 524 to 776 of the family's 1533-position model. The record is from RNAcentral.